This is a non-coding RNA of Microcebus murinus (gray mouse lemur), 2801 nucleotides long. The record is from RefSeq and is a predicted model, not a curated record. Lineage: Eukaryota; Metazoa; Chordata; Mammalia; Primates; Cheirogaleidae.
AUAAAUGCUGGCUUUAACACUCAAGACUCUUGGUUGCAAGUGACAGAAACCCUACUUAAACUUGUUUAAGCAAAAUAGGGGAUUUAGUGGAUCAGACAAUUAAGAAGUCUCAGGAUGUGAUGGUUUUGAGCUUGACUGUAUCUAUGGGCUCAGAUGUCAUCCAGACCCUUGCUGUGUCUCUAACCUUCACUUUCUUUCUGUAUUGGCCUCAUUUUUGAGUAGGCUCUCCAUACGUGGUGGCAAACAUGGCUUGUCCUGUGUCACAGCUAGUUCUCUAACCCCCCAAGAGAUGCUGCUUUUCUGCUACUUGGAAGAGUAUUGUGGCUGUAAAGCGCCUGAACUUUGAGAUGGAGCUCAGAAGUUAAGCUUGUCUGCCUAUCUGUCCACCUCGCUUUCCAUCCUUCUGAAAAAAAAAAAGCACAAAGGGGGAAAUUCUUAACUUUCUAAAGAAAACACUAAUGAAAAUAUGAGUCUGAAUGAUAAUCAGAUUGAGAGCCAAUUUCAGAAAAAUCUGUUAACGUUCCUUAAAAGAGAGGCAGAGAGGAGAUGCUGUUGUGUUUCGACUGCGUCUUUUGGGGUAAAUGUGCUGUGAUGACUUGUACCCCAGGGAAGUCGUGAUUCCCGUUGGGUGAGACGUGCGUGUGCACUGACCAUCGUGCCCUGAGCCGCCAGUGCCACUCUGGUGCCUGCCAGGCCCGCGCCAGCCAGCGAGUGUGGUAUUUGGUCCACGCAGUGUUCUAAGAAAGUCUGAAUUGGUUACAGACAUUUAAAACUUGGGACCUUCCAUAAGAAAACUGUGUUUCUGGCUUCUCUGGAAAAAACGAGAAGACCAGGCAUCUGCAGGCAUGUGUCCACAUGGCGAGCAUGGGCCGCAACUGAGCAUGGCCCCCGGGCCUGAGACUGCCACUCUGCUGACCGUCUGUGACGGGUUGGGUCACUUCAGGUCUCCCGCUGGCCCCUGUAGUUAUCUGAUUUGUGACCCUUGAUGCUAGCAUCUUCCCUGAAGGAAGGAGGCUGCAGGACAAGCUGUUGAAGACUUGAAGAGCUAAGCUGCCACAGCCGGCGAGGAGCCAGGCGAGACCUGGCCCCUGGGAGCUGUGCCCAGUCUGAGCCUCGGGGCCACACCUACACUUUGUAAACUUGACUUUUCCGUGCUGUUUUUCCAUGUUUACUCAUGUGAUCAAAGUCCUUUGGGAAACAGCAGCCUUUUCAAGGUGGGCUGAGGUGGACACCAACAGAGUGGGGAGGCGGAGGGCGGGCAAGGGUCCCAGGCGGCAGCUGGCCUGGCCUCGAGGGGCUCAGGGAUGAGCCAGCAGCGCCACCUGGCCUCCUCAGUCUUUCUUUCCCCCCAGGAAAGACAAGGGUCCUCUUUGUUUGUUUAUUUAUGGGGCAGUUUUGCUUUAUUCACAUUUAGAGAGAAAAUUUUGUUGGCUGAGGCAUGGGGCCGAGAAAGGAAUACAAAUAAGAAACCGCGGAGAAGGAAAGGAAAACUCAGAAGACAGGAGAUAAGAAGUCCCUUUCUUCUUACUCUUUGCAGAAUUUUGAGGGUUUUUUGUUUUGCUUUGCUUUUUAAUGGAGCUAAAAGCACAUAAAAACCUUACAGAAGGGAAGGGAUUCACAAUAUGGUGUGGGAGCUCACAUGUUACAUGUUCUGAGUGUACUCAGUUCCUCUCUGCUCAGGAGGAAGCUUGAGCCACUCCACAGGCCAGUCAGGUGGGGCGCUGGGUAGACAUUUAGUGGGGGCUCUCACGCCAUGAUUCCCUGACUGAACCAAUUAAGAGCAUCCCAACGUGACAACCAGGAGCCACAGGCAGACGUCACCACCAGGCACUGACAGGGUCCCUUGCCCUGCCCUCCUGGGAAGUUCCACUUGGUGGCCUGGGUGGGCUGGGCUCUGACAGACACACAGGUCUGCAGCGAGGGCCAGGCGCGGCCCUGAGGUCCUGCAGGAACCAGGAAGGGCCCAGCACUCUCAAUGUCCUCACUGUCCUGAUCUUUCCUAGAUCCCUGUCACAUCUCCUAGGUCUUCCAGAUGCUUUCUUGGAAGUCCCUUCUAACCUGCUCUGUUUUCUUUCUGUCUCAUUCCUCAAAAUUUCCUCAGCUUGCAUUCUUGUCAUGGGGAAAGAACUUCAGAAAUGUUGCCAAACCUGGGGUGCCUGUUCUCCUCAGCAAGAGCCCUGGGGUUGGAGCUAAGAAGGGCCUGACUCCUCAGAGUGAGUCAGCCAGGAUCGGGAGUCCCUGGAGUGAGAACAGGACUGCUGGCUGUCAGGUGCCCUUCAGAGAGGGGACUCUGAUGGGAGACAUUGACCUUCGAACAAGAACAAAGCCCCACGCUGCAUCUCUGUGUAGAACCAGAGGUAAAAAGGGAAGAAUAGUAAGAAAAUUUAAGAUCCUUGUUUGUAAUGAAAGACAAUGAAUGACCACAACUGCCUUCUGUGGGUGGUGGGACGGGGGUCACCUCCAUGGAGGACUGUGGGGCUUGCCGAGUGACACAGGUGGAAAUGGGCAGGCUGAAUGGCACUGCAGCUGGGUGGGCAGAGAAGACUCUGGAGCCUGCCAGGCUGGACCCUGUGUCGGGGAAGCCAGAGGCAGCGCCGUCCUUCCCAAGAGCCGCGUGGAUGAGAACGGACUUUGAAUGAAGGGAAUGGCCAAUAUGGACACUUAGCUUUCCUGCCAGGAUUGGGGGAGGCACACCAACUCCACGUUCCCGGGAAUAAUUUGUAAAGUUCACGUUGCUGACCAAUGCUUUUGUGCAAGUUGGUCCUUUUGGGGAAACAUGAAGAGAAUGUUAAUUUCAUGAC